This 643-nucleotide ribosomal RNA is filed under the name uncultured bacterium. Its description in RNAcentral is "bacterial SSU rRNA". It matches the Rfam family "Bacterial small subunit ribosomal RNA", at positions 97 to 726 of the family's 1533-position model. The record is from RNAcentral.
GGCGGACGGGUGAGUAACACGUGGGCAACCUGCCUAUAAGACUGGGAUAACUUCGGGAAACCGGAGCUAAUACCGGAUACGUUCUUUUCUCGCAUGAGAGAAGAUGGAAAGACGGUUUACGCUGUCACUUAUAGAUGGGCCCGCGGCGCAUUAGCUAGUUGGUGAGGUAAUGGCUCACCAAGGCGACGAUGCGUAGCCGACCUGAGAGGGUGAUCGGCCACACUGGGACCGAGACACGGCCCAGACUCCUACGGGAGGCAGCAGUAGGGAAUCUUCCGCAAUGGACGAAAGUCUGACGGAGCAACGCCGCGUGAACGAAGAAGGCCUUCGGGUCGUAAAGUUCUGUUGUUAGGGAAGAACAAGUACCAGAGUAACUGCUGGUACCUUGACGGUACCUAACCAGAAAGCCACGGCUAACUACGUGCCAGCAGCCGCGGUAAUACGUAGGUGGCAAGCGUUGUCCGGAAUUAUUGGGCGUAAAGCGCGCGCAGGUGGUUCCUUAAGUCUGAUGUGAAAGCCCACGGCUCAACCGUGGAGGGUCAUUGGAAACUGGGGAACUUGAGUGCAGAAGAGGAAAGUGGAAUUCCAAGUGUAGCGGUGAAAUGCGUAGAGAUUUGGAGGAACACCAGUGGCGAAGGCGACU